AGUGAGCGCUGGCGGUAGGCCUAACACAUGCAAGUCGAACGGCAGCACAGUAAGAGCUUGCUCUUACGGGUGGCGAGUGGCGGACGGGUGAGGAAUACAUCGGAAUCUACUUUUUCGUGGGGGAUAACGUAGGGAAACUUACGCUAAUACCGCAUACGACCUACGGGUGAAAGCAGGGGAUCUUCGGACCUUGGGCGAUUGAAUGAGCCGAUGUCGGAUUAGCUAGUUGGCGGGGUAAAGGCCCACCAAGGCGACGAUCCGUAGCUGGUCUGAGAGGAUGAUCAGCCACACUGGAACUGAGACACGGUCCAGACUCCUACGGGAGGCAGCAGUGGGGAAUAUUGGACAAUGGGCGCAAGCCUGAUCCAGCCAUACCGCGUGGGUGAAGAAGGCCUUCGGGUUGUAAAGCCCUUUUGUUGGGAAAGAAAAGCAGCAGGUUAAUACCCCGCUGUUCUGACGGUACCCAAAGAAUAAGCACCGGCUAACUUCGUG
This 492-nucleotide ribosomal RNA is filed under the name uncultured bacterium. Its description in RNAcentral is "partial 16S ribosomal RNA". It matches the Rfam family "Bacterial small subunit ribosomal RNA", at positions 29 to 507 of the family's 1533-position model. The record is from RNAcentral.